RNAcentral lists this ribosomal RNA (308 nucleotides) under uncultured bacterium. RNAcentral describes it as "partial 16S ribosomal RNA". It matches the Rfam family "Bacterial small subunit ribosomal RNA", at positions 505 to 809 of the family's 1533-position model. The record is from RNAcentral.
GAGACAGCAGCAGCCGCGGUAAAACGAGGGGUGCAAGCGUUAUUCGGAUUGAUUGGGUGUAAAGGGUGUGCAGACGGCUUAUUAAGUCACUUGUUAAAUUCUUCGGCCUAACUGAAGGUCUGCAAGUGAUACUGAUGAGCUAGAGGGUGGAAGAGAGAAGUGGAAUUCUCGGAGUAGCGGUAAAAUGCGUAGAUCUCGAGAGGAACACCAAUGGCGAAGGCAGCUUCUUGGUCCAUUCCUGACGUUCAUACACGAAAGCGUUGGGAGCAAACAGGAUUAGAUACCCCCGUAGUCCCUGUCUCUUAUAA